CUCAAUCUUUGCUGAAGGAUGGCGUGAGAGCACAGGAGGAGGCACUUAUCCAUAGCAGGUGGCUCUCCUCAGUCAGUACAGUGCAGCAGCCUUUGCAUGGAUGAUUGUCUGUCCUCUGUUGGGCCCCUUCUGAAGAGUUGGAGUUGGUUGCAAACUAUAGAAACCAUUUGGGCUGGUUUGAGCAUAAAAGGAAAUUACUGGGAGUUAUUAGGUGCUCGGUGAUUCAUUGGGAGGUCUGGCAAAAAAGAAGCUCAAGGCUAAGCUCAUAGGAACACAGCCCGGCAUCUCACACAGAAGUGGCUUGAUGAGGAUUCUACUGCCUCCACAGCUCCUGCCAUCAUCUUCAUCUGCACCAUAGAUGCUCAGAACCCAGUCUGUGUCUGCAUGUUGCUGACUUCCAAAUGAGAGCUUCAUGAGAGUGUAUUUGGUUGGUAGAACAUAGGUCCCAGACCUUCUCCCUGGGAGCUGGAAGAGAUGCUGGGAAAUUCUGCCCUGGAAAAAUAAAACUCACAAUGUGGGAAACAAAGAAAAUGUACAGCAGGGGUUUAACAGAAUGACAGGUAUCUGCUAAAGAAAAUAUUGAUUUUUUUUAAAAAAAAAAAAGACAAUUUUCCCUUUAGAGCCCCAGAAAGAUUCAGGCCUUAGAGGCACUAAGUACUAUAGAAAAUGAGGCUGAAGCAUGGGGCUGAAACUUGGUUUGGUUGAAGGUCUCUGGAAGGCAGAGCAGUUUAACCUCUAGGUUCCCUCAUCCACCCCCAUACAGCCAGACAAUUAUCCCUCCACCCUUCUGUUCUCCUCCCCUCUUCCCUUAGAAAACUUGAAGUUUAUUCUCUAGAGAAGUUCCAGGCUCAGUGACACCAGGCCAAGGUGCUGGACUGAAAACAAUUAGAUUAAGUUAAAAUCUGCUUGAUAAGUGUACAAGUAAUCUAUUUUCAAAACCUAAGAGAUGUUGUCAGCUAUCUCUAACUAUAUGCCAGCAGUAGGCCUUCUAGGAAACUGUACUAUGAUUCCAGGAAACUCGAUUGUGGGCUGGGGAAGGACAAUAAAGUGGAUUGUAUGAUCAUCUGCUUCUGUUACUGGAAAGGGAUCCUGAUCCAGACCCCAAGAGAGGGUUCUUGGAUCUUGUGCAAGAAAGAAUUCAGGAGUCCAUAAAGUGAAAGCAAGUUUAUCAGAGAAGUAAAGAAACAAAAGGAUGGCUACCCCAUAGACAGAGAGCCCUGAGGGCUGCUGGUUGGACAUUUUUAUGGUUAUUUCUUGAUCAUAUGCUAAACAAGGGGUAGAUUAUUCAUAAGUUUUCUGGGAAAGGGGAGGUUCCCAAAACUGAGGGUUCCUCCCCUUUUUAGACCAUAUAAGGUAACUUGGGUGUUGCCAUGGCAUUUGUAAACUGUCAUGGCACUGCUGAGAGUGUCUAUUAGCCUGCUAAUGCAUUAUAAUUAACGUACAAUGAGCAGUGAGGAUGACCAGAGGUCACUUUCAUCACCAUCUUGGUUUUGGCCGGCUUCUUUAUGGCAUCCUGUUUUAUCACCAGGGUCUUUAUGACCCGUAUCUUGUGAUAUCAAUCCUGCCGACCUCCUAUCUCAUCCUGUGGCUAAGAAUGUCUAACCUCCUGGGAAUGCUGCCCAGCAGGUCUCAUUCUCAUUUUACCGAGCCCCUACUCAAGAUGGAGUCGCUCUGGUUUGAACGCCUCUGACACUUCCACUCUCAAGGAAUGGUGUUUUUAUUCUCUUCUCCCCAGAAUGUACUUCUGGUCUGUCCCGCUGUUCCAUUCCACAGCAUUUUAGGAGGUUCUCAAGAGUGUCCUAAACAAGCAGAGAAGAAUGGUGAGACUUACCCAUUCCUAGUUUAAGAAAUGAGUGAAAUGGGGUCUGAGUUAUAUCACAGGUGAGCUAGACAUCCUCGAAAUAAAGAGCCAGAGUAUCAGGCAAACCUUCUAAUAGCUAAAAUGAGCGUACUUCUAUUCCUAGCUACAGUUUAGACUCCUGUGGUACAGUUGGCUUUCCCAGGCUCCCGGCGUCCAUGCUGUCUCGGCGCUAUCUCGCAGCCUGACGCCACGCGCCAUCUGCUGGCCUUGAGCUGCAUAGCUCUAGAGUAACUUCAGAGGCCACGGGGGAACAAAGAGCACUCGCCUACUUGACUGAGCUCCGACAGGCCGUCCCUCUGCUUCAGGUGUAGGCGUGAACAAGUCCAGACCACUACCUUAACAGACUCUGAAUACCUCAAGAGUGGGAGAUUGGUCUUGCCAAUCAGAGAAGCUCCAGGGCUAGCCUAGUGCCUGGCACAUG
Molecule: long non-coding RNA, 2282 nt
Filed under: Homo sapiens (human)
Lineage: Eukaryota; Metazoa; Chordata; Mammalia; Primates; Hominidae
Description: HSALNT0190619
Source: RNAcentral